UUGACCAACUUGGGGGACUCGCAUAGGGAAGUGUAUUGAAAGUUGGUGCUGGUCGAGAAGUUCUUAUCCAGGACCCAAUUGUCGAGUCUUCCGAUUUGAGCGGCACGAGUUCGGGUCAAAUUUCUUCUGUGAUUAAAUCAAAAGUAAUAGAAGUAAAAUCCGCUUUUUCUUCGAAUUACCGUCCUCCUCAAAAAGAAGUAAACGCGGAAUCUAAAUUCACCUCAGAUAAAUCAAUCUCAGUGCACACCUUCGCAAAAACUGAGAAGUUGACACUGGAACUUUUGGACUGGAACUUUUUGGAAAUAACAAGAAAAACGGAGAUUCUGCAGAAAACGCCUCACACCGAGUAUGCUAUUGUUGAGAAGAAUCCUGUGAACCCAUCGUUACUGGAAGCUGUAAAACAGUAUAAUGUACUUUGGUGCAAAGCUUCGACCCAAAAGCACAAGAAUUGGGAAGAAGAAGCUGUCCUGGUUGUGAAAGAUAGAGGAGUUAUUCUUA
Daphnia pulicaria is the source of this 498-nucleotide long non-coding RNA. RefSeq lists it as uncharacterized. The record is from RefSeq and is a predicted model, not a curated record. The transcript is spliced from 4 exons. Lineage: Eukaryota; Metazoa; Arthropoda; Branchiopoda; Diplostraca; Daphniidae.